This is a long non-coding RNA of Meleagris gallopavo (turkey), 1151 nucleotides long. RefSeq lists it as uncharacterized. NCBI's taxonomy places the organism in Eukaryota, Metazoa, Chordata, Aves, Galliformes, Phasianidae. The record is from RefSeq and is a predicted model, not a curated record.
GAGUCUCCUGAAAGAAAUUAAGAACGUAAAGAACAGAGUCCCUAGAUGUGUGCUUAGAGGACCAGAUAAAAGAUGAUCUCUAUUUGAGGGGAAAUUCCCCUGAAAUACCUGUGGGAUUUGAUCUUUCUGUAGCUAGUUAGAACUGUGACACCUUGAACGUGUACAUGUAUACCAUUUCAUUGAUAUGUCAGUCAUCCCAGGGAAAAAUAACACAUUGCCAUUCUCCAUCCCUCUCCCGCAAGGAUUUUGCUCUUCUCUCUGACAAGACUCAUUAGCUUGUGUGUGCUCAGCGCUCUGAAGACAAAAGACGUUUCUUAAAGAAUAAGAAUAAACAAGGUCUCUGAAAGCAACUUAUUCAGGAGAAGCGUGAAUGGAAAAUAUGGGUUUGUUCAGUCCAGAUCAACUAUGUGAGAACACAGACAGUUGGACUCCAUUUCUUAUCUGAGUUUAAGCACCCCACCAAUGUACUUUGCUCUGGGUUCCCACAUGCUCUAUGGAGAGCAACCAUCCCUUUUAAGGAACAGCUCACUGCUGAGCUCUGAACUGCCUGCUGCCAACCACUGGAGGAAGAGGUGAUGAGGCAAACCAUGUGACUAUGCUCCUAACGCAGGUCACGCUGUAGAAUCAAUCCAGACUCUUCCUGCAUCUGAAUUCUCCUUGACUCCUCCAGUUUGAUGGUUUGUUGAGUUAAACCACGCCUUGUUCUGACCCUACUGACUUAGCAAGUUAGAACAGCUUCACUAUAUUAUGUAAGAGGUGAUCCUGGCAGAUCCUGUUUGAGGUGUACAAGAGUACAUCCCUAUCGGUGACUGUGUGACUGACAUACGUUUAUGGUCAGAUCAAACCACGCCCACAAACACUUCCUCUUGAGGCAGACUGCAUGGAAAGCACUUGCUUUCUUCUCCAGAGUGGAGAGGUGAUCUUUGUACUGGAGAAGGAAGACAGAAGGAGGGAGACAUCACAUCUUUAUGAGGUACAUUUGGACAGCCCUAAGGCCAGCUGCUUUAAGAGCUGGGAGAGAGAAAUCUUCACCCAUAAUGUGACUUGCACCUGUCAGUCCGAAAGCCACGAGGCCCAUCUCCCUUCCCCAGUAUGUCCUCUACAAAUGAGCCAAGAGCUGUUUUGCUGUGCUCUCACCAUCAAACCGCUUA